Molecule: long non-coding RNA, 906 nt
Organism: Oreochromis aureus
Lineage: Eukaryota; Metazoa; Chordata; Actinopteri; Cichliformes; Cichlidae
Exons: 2
Source: RefSeq, a predicted model, not a curated record
GGACCCUUCAGUCCCAUAUGAAACAUAAAGACUGUAACUGUAUAGGCUUGCUACAGGUCAAUCUCACCACAUAGGCCAAUAGAGUGAUCUUUAUCUACAUGGAGGCCUAUUAUGACAGCACCCUGCAACCCCCAUCACAAGCACUAAACUGUGUGUGGAGCGAUUCCUGCGUGUGAAAUCUCUCGUACGCUGCUAAACAAACACCAAAUUGCUUUGCUGUGAUAUCAGACUCCCAGCGAAAAGGAGAUGCUGUAUGACUUGGUACAACAUAAAUGUCAGCUUAGUGAUUCACCACUAAUGAGGUGGCACCUGUGACAAGAGGGAAGGAAACUUUUGUUGUGGAAAACACACAAAAACACACUGAUGUGCUGCUUUUGAGAGUUGACAAGGAAACGCUCAAAGGGAUCAAAUUAUUUUACAUCUCAUACAUAUGCAUGUCUCCGUUAAAGUGUUCCACUUUGUUUAUUUACACUGUGUUAGGGUUGUGAAUACAGCUGAGAUGAAGGGGAAUAGAAAGUGUAACAGUGCAUCAAAGAUAUGAGCAAUCUGAAGCUUCUUCACUUUCCAUUAAUGUAACUCCCGUUCUUGACUCUUUAUUGACCCAGUUGAUUGCUCUACCUGUCAAGACCAACCAUGCUUUUCACUAAUAUUGCUCUACUUUGAGUGCCACCAAGUGUCACCGCAUGAAAUAAUAAGUGAUCUUGGCUGAAUUGCAUUACACGCAAAAGAAAACUUACAGUUUUAGACAAUCUGGACUUGAACAUGUUCAUUUUUGCUGGAUUGUUAUUUUCUAUCACUGCUGUAUGUGGUUAAUGUAUUCUUACAGGUAAAUAUAAAUUACAUAUACAGAUAUGUUAAGUAAUGGACUAACCAUAAUACAUUAAACUCUUUUGUUCGGCUUCUUUA